UGAUUCCCCUAGUAACGGCGAGUGAAGAGGGAAAAGCUCAAAGUUGGAACCUGGCUGUCYUAGAUAGUCCGGAUUGUAAACUAAAGAGCGUGAAUCCAGGCAAGCCGGUUGAUCAAGUCCUUUGGAAUGAGGCGCCACUGAGGGUGAGAGCCCCGUAAAUCGACUGAGCAUUUGUCUUUUGUGUUUCGCGUUCAAAGAGUCAGGUUGUUUGGGAAUGCAGCCUAAAGCUGGUGGUAAAUCCCACCUAAAGCUAAAUACAGGCGAGAGACCGAUAGCGAACAAGUACCGUGAGGGAAAGAUGAAAAGUACUUUGAAAAGAGAGUUAAACAGUAUGUGAAAUUGCCAAGAGGGAAGCAUUUGGAGUUAGACUGACUUGRAGUUAAUCARCUUGGUCUUUGGACUGGGUGUACUUGACUUCUAUGUCUGCCAAUAGCAGUUAGUCCUGRUGGAAAAAACUGAAGGGAAGGUAGUCCUUCGGGAUGUUUAUAGACCUUUGGAAAAUACAYUGGGAUUGACUGAGGAAUGCAGUAGAUGCUAUUAAGGCUUCGUCUAGUAGGUGUUAGGUGAAGGUACUUGGUAUUUUCAGCUUGCUGAUGUGCUAGGUUACUUGAGCUUAAUUGCUUGCUAGAACUGUAAUC
Molecule: ribosomal RNA, 638 nt
Filed under: Lichtheimia corymbifera
Lineage: Eukaryota; Fungi; Mucoromycota; Mucoromycetes; Mucorales; Lichtheimiaceae
Description: eukaryotic LSU rRNA
Rfam family: Eukaryotic large subunit ribosomal RNA
Source: RNAcentral